ACAUUAGAUACCCGGGUAGUCCUAGGCGUAAAUGAUGCGAGUUAAGUNUGGGGGCAUCUACGAGAUGGCCCUGUGCUGUACGGGUAGCCGUUAAACUCGCUGCCUGGGGAGUACGGUCGCAAGGCUGAAACUUAAGGAAUUGGCGGGGAGCACCACAAGAGGUGGAGGCUGCGGUUCAAUUGGACUCAACGCCGGAAAACUCAUCGGGAGCGACAGCAGUAUGAUUGCCAGGUUGAUGACCUUGCUUGACAAGCUG
This 256-nucleotide ribosomal RNA is filed under the name uncultured archaeon. RNAcentral's name for it is "partial 16S ribosomal RNA". It matches the Rfam family "Archaeal small subunit ribosomal RNA", at positions 726 to 982 of the family's 1478-position model. The record is from RNAcentral.